CUGCAGUCAGUUAAGCUGAGUGUUUUCUUUCUUGGAGGCCCUGUUUGCAAUAGCCUCAAACAGCAAUCUCCAUUGUAAUGUUUGCCACCUAUUGCUUAUACAGGUUGCCCUAAGGGACCUUGGAAACAGCC
Small nucleolar RNA from Erinaceus europaeus (western European hedgehog), 131 nucleotides. Its record names the gene SNORA70. It matches the Rfam family "Small nucleolar RNA SNORA70". Rfam says of the family: snoRNA U70 seems to be exclusive to mammals and is a member of the H/ACA class of snoRNA which contain H (ANANNA) and ACA box motifs. NCBI's taxonomy places the organism in Eukaryota, Metazoa, Chordata, Mammalia, Eulipotyphla, Erinaceidae. The record is from Ensembl.